GAUGAACGCUGGCGGCGUGCCUAAUACAUGCAAGUCGAGCGAACAGACGAGGAGCUUGCUCCUCUGACGUUAGCGGCGGACGGGUGAGUAACACGUGGAUAACCUACCUAUAAGACUGGGAUAACUUCGGGAAACCGGAGCUAAUACCGGAUGAUAUAUUGAACCGCAUGGUUCAAUAGUGAAAGACGGUCUUGCUGUCACUUAUAGAUGGAUCCGCGCCGCAUUAGCUAGUUGGUAAGGUAACGGCUUACCAAGGCAACGAUGCGUAGCCGACCUGAGAGGGCGAUCGGCCACACUGGAACUGAGACACGGUCCAGACUCCUACGGGAGGCAGCAGUAGGGAAUCUUCCGCAAUGGGCGAAAGCUUGACGGAGCAACGCCGCGUGAGUGAUGAAGGUCUUCGGAUCGUAAAACUCUGUUAUUAGGGAAGAACAAAUGUGUAAGUAACUGUGCACAUCUUGACGGUACCUAAUCAGAAAGCCACGGCUAACUACGUG
This 497-nucleotide ribosomal RNA is filed under the name uncultured bacterium. Its description in RNAcentral is "partial 16S ribosomal RNA". It matches the Rfam family "Bacterial small subunit ribosomal RNA", at positions 28 to 507 of the family's 1533-position model. The record is from RNAcentral.